This 459-nucleotide ribosomal RNA is filed under the name uncultured bacterium. Its description in RNAcentral is "partial 16S ribosomal RNA". It matches the Rfam family "Bacterial small subunit ribosomal RNA", at positions 338 to 795 of the family's 1533-position model. The record is from RNAcentral.
CCUACGGGAGGCAGCAGUGAGGAAUAUUGGUCAAUGGCCGGAAGGCUGAACCAGCCAAGUCGCGUGAAGGACGAAGGUGCCAAGCAUUGUAAACUUCUUUUGUCAAGGGACAAAAUCAGGCUCGAGUGCCUGACCGAGGGUACCUUAUGAAAAAGCAUCGGCUAACUCCGUGCCAGCAGCCGCGGUAAUACGGAGGAUGCGAGCGUUAUCCGGAUUUAUUGGGUUUAAAGGGUGCGUAGGCGGAUAGUAAAGUCAGCGGUAAAAAUGCGGUGCUCAACGCAGUACAGGCGUUGAAACUGGCAGUCUUGAGUGCGCGAGAAGUAUGCGGAAUGCGUGGUGUAGCGGUGAAAUGCAUAGAUAUCACGAAGAACUCCGAUUGCGAAGGCAGCAUACUGGAGCGCGACUGACGCUGAGGCACGAAAGCGUGGGUAUCGAACAGGAUUAGAUACCCCUGUAGUC